UCCACGCCGUAAACGAUGGAUGCUAGCUGUGGGGGGUAUCGACCCCCUCCGUAGCGAAGCUAACGCGUUAAGCAUCCCGCCUGUGGAGUACGGCCGCAAGGCUAAAACAUAAAGGAAUUGACGGGGACCCGCACAAGCGGUGGAGCGUGUUCUUUAAUUCGAUGAUAAACGAAGAACCUUACCAGGGCUUGACAUCCCGAGAAUUACUCCGAAAGGAGUGAGUGCUUUAUUGAACUCGGUGACAGAUCUUGCAUGGCCGUCGUCAGCUCGUGUCGUGAGAUGUUUGGUUAAGUCCAUCAA
This 300-nucleotide ribosomal RNA is filed under the name uncultured bacterium. RNAcentral describes it as "bacterial SSU rRNA". It matches the Rfam family "Bacterial small subunit ribosomal RNA", at positions 794 to 1092 of the family's 1533-position model. The record is from RNAcentral.